AUUAAAUACCUAGGAAAACAUGGUUGGGGAGGAUGGAAGCUUUAAAGAUGCAUUUGCUCCCCAAAUUCCAGUACCUUUUGAGAACAUUACAAAUCUAUCUUCGAAAAUCAUAUUUUGAAAAACUUCAGAAAACACUCACACGCUUUAUAUGGAGCAAUCACAAAAUUCGAGAAGCCACAAAUAUUUUACACAAACCCCUACAAGAAGGAGGUCUAAACUUACCCAAUGUGAAAUGAUAUCAUCAAG
This is a non-coding RNA of Pelobates cultripes (western spadefoot toad), 246 nucleotides long. The record is from the annotation of a GenBank genome assembly. Lineage: Eukaryota; Metazoa; Chordata; Amphibia; Anura; Pelobatidae.